RNAcentral lists this ribosomal RNA (253 nucleotides) under uncultured bacterium. Its description in RNAcentral is "partial 16S ribosomal RNA". It matches the Rfam family "Bacterial small subunit ribosomal RNA", at positions 524 to 776 of the family's 1533-position model. The record is from RNAcentral.
UACGAAGGGGGCUAGCGUUGCUCGGAAUCACUGGGCGUAAAGCGCACGUAGGCGGCUUUUUAAGUCAGGGGUGAAAUCCUGGAGCUCAACUCCAGAACUGCCCUUGAUACUGGCGGUCUCGAGUCCGGGAGAGGUGAGUGGAACUGCGAGUGUAGAGGUGAAAUUCGUAGAUAUUCGCAAGAACACCAGUGGCGAAGGCGGCUCACUGGCCCGGUACUGACGCUGAGGCACGAAGGCCAGGGGAGCAAACAGG